GGCUCAGGAUGAACGCUGGCGGCGUGCCUAAUACAUGCAAGUCGAACGGUCAUAGCAAUAUGAUAGUGGCGACCGGGUGCGUAACACGUAGCUGACCUGCCCCUCUGCGGGGGACAACAGUUCGAAAGGGCUGCUAAUACCGCGUACAUUCGAGGUGUUCAGAAAGCCUUGAAGAAACUUCAGGGGUGGAGGGAGGGAGCUGCGGCCCAUCAGGUAGUUGGUAGGGUAAUGGCCUACCAAGCCAACGACGGGUAGGGGGCCUGAGAGGGUGACCCCCCACACUGGAACAGACAGACGGUCCAGACUCCUACGGGAGGCAGCAGUAAGGGAUAUUGGGCAAUGGGCGAAAGCCUGACCCAGCAACGCCGCGUGGAGGAUGACGGUCUUCGGAUUGUAAACUCCUUUUGUCGGGGACGAGGAAGGACGGUACCCGGCGAAUCAGUCUCGGCUAACUACGUGCCAGCAGCCGCGGUAAAACGUAGGAGGCGAGCGUUAUCCGGAUUUACUGGGCGUAAAGGGUGCGCAGGCGGGCCGUUAAGUGGUGCAUGAAAGCGAAGGGCUCAACCCUUCGAGGCUGUGCCAGACUGGCGGUCUGGAGUGCGGGAGAGGGCUGUGGAAUUCCGGGUGUAGUGGUGAAAUGCGUAGAGAUCCGGAGGAACACCAGAGGCGAAGGCGGCAGCCUGGCCCGCAACUGACGCUGAGACACGACAGCAUGGGGAGCGAACGGGAUUAGAAACCCCGGUAGUCCAUGCCGUAAACGAUGACUGCUGGGCGUCGGAUGGCUAACACCGUUCGGUGUCGAAGUAAACACGUUAAGCAGUCCGCCUGGGGAGUACGGUC
RNAcentral lists this ribosomal RNA (840 nucleotides) under uncultured bacterium. RNAcentral describes it as "bacterial SSU rRNA". It matches the Rfam family "Bacterial small subunit ribosomal RNA", at positions 21 to 887 of the family's 1533-position model. The record is from RNAcentral.